RNAcentral lists this long non-coding RNA (355 nucleotides) under Mytilus galloprovincialis (Mediterranean mussel). Lineage: Eukaryota; Metazoa; Mollusca; Bivalvia; Mytilida; Mytilidae. The record is from RNAcentral.
AAAAUUCAAAAAGUAGAGGAGCAAACAUCAUUAAUAAGAACAUAGCGUAAAAUACACAGUUCCUGUCAUGUAGUACUAUUAUCCAUAUGCUCUUUUAUAUUUUUUCCCUGGAUCAUUAGCUAUGAUUAUAUUCGCGUGUAACCCGGGGACUAUGCAUAAGUCAACUAUAAAUAUUUCAUUUUAAUUUUUUUUUCUAAUUUAAUUGCAAGCGAAAACCGAUAACUGCUGAUACUAAAACCUAUCAACGAUUACACAAGCUUAAAAAAAAUGAAAAUAUAAGCAUGUAAUUCAUAUUCAACAAUCAUUGUAAUUGCUUGUCAUUCUUUGCAAUAUUGAAACGUUGUCAUUGGAGGCC